This 634-nucleotide ribosomal RNA is filed under the name uncultured bacterium. RNAcentral's name for it is "bacterial SSU rRNA". The stretch from base 1 to 541 matches the Rfam family "Bacterial small subunit ribosomal RNA", at positions 338 to 873 of the family's 1533-position model. The record is from RNAcentral.
CCUACGGGAGGCAGCAGUGGGGAAUUUUGGACAAUGGGCGCAAGCCUGGUCCAGCAAUGCCGCGUGCAGGAUGAAGGCCUUCGGGUUGUAAACUGCUUUUGUACGGAACGAAACGGUCUGCCCUAAUACGGUGGGCUAAUGACGGUACCGUAAGAAUAAGCACCGGCUAACUACGUGCCAGCAGCCGCGGUAAUACGUAGGGUGCGAGCGUUAAUCGGAAUUACUGGGCGUAAAGCGUGCGCAGGCGGUUAUAUAAGACAGAUGUGAAAUCCCCGGGCUCAACCUGGGACCUGCAUUUGUGACUGUAUAGCUAGAGUACGGUAGAGGGGGAUGGAAUUCCGCGUGUAGCAGUGAAAUGCGUAGAUAUGCGGAGGAACACCGAUGGCGAAGGCAAUCCCCUGGACCUGUACUGACGCUCAUGCACGAAAGCGUGGGGAGCAAACAGGAUUAGAUACCCUGGUAGUCCACGCCCUAAACGAUGUCAACUGGUUGUUGGUCUUCUCUNACUCAGUAACGAAGACUACGACGUGAGUAGACCGCCGUGGGAGGUACGGCCGGCGUAGGUUAGUUAAACGUUAAAGGUAAAGUUAGUUACGGCGUUGAGACGNGCGACGGACGACGACGAGGGAGGAGG